AAUAGAUACCCGGGUAGUCCACGCCGUAAACGAUGAGUGCUAGGUGUUGGGGGCAUCACGUCCUCAGUGCCGAAGGAAACCCAAUAAGCACUCCGCCUGGGGAGUACGGCCGCAAGGCUGAAACUCAAAGGAAUUGACGGGGGCCCGCACAAGCGGUGGAGCAUGUGGUUUAAUUCGAAGCAACGCGAAGAACCUUACCAAGGCUUGACAUCCCAUUGACCGCACUAGAGAUAGUGCUUCCCUUCGGGGCAAUGGUGACAGGUGGUGCAUGGUUGUCGUCAGCUCGUGUCGUGAGAUGUUGGGUUCAGUCCCGCAACGAGCGCAACCCUUAUCCUUAGUUGCCAGCAGGUAAAGCUGGGCUCUCUAAGGAGACAGCCGGUGAAAGCCGGAGGAAGGUGGGGAUGACGUCAAAUCAUCAUGCCCCUUACGUCUUGGGCUACACACGUGCUACAAUGGAUGGUACAAAGGGCAGCAAAACCGCGAGGUCGAGCAAAUCCCAUAAAGCCAUUCUCAGUUCGGA
This 520-nucleotide ribosomal RNA is filed under the name uncultured bacterium. RNAcentral's name for it is "bacterial SSU rRNA". It matches the Rfam family "Bacterial small subunit ribosomal RNA", at positions 777 to 1297 of the family's 1533-position model. The record is from RNAcentral.